CAAGUGAAGAGUUUGAUUCUGGCUCAGAUUGAACGCUGUCGGCGUGGUUAAAGCAUGCAAGUCGAACGGACCCGCAAGGGUCAGUGGCGGAAGGGUGAGUAAUACGAUCGAACGUACCCCGAGGUGGGGGAUAGGCAUGGGAAACUGUGCGUAAUACCCCAUGAUCUCUUCGGAGCAAAGAUUUAUCGCCUUGGGAUCGGCGAUCGUCCUAUCAGGUAGUUGGCGGGGUAAUGGCCCACCAAGCCUAAGACGGGUAGCAGGUGUGAGAGCACGGCCUGCCACAUCGAAACUGAGACACUGUUCGGACUCCUACGGGAGGCUGCAGCGACGAAUCUUCCGCAAUGGGCGAAAGCCUGACGGAGCGACGCCGAGUGUGGGAUGAAGCGGCUUUGCCGUGUAAACCACUGUUAGGGGAUAGAAACAAUGAUCAUCUCCAGAGAAAGGGGCGACUAACUCUGUGCCAGCAGUCGCGGUAAGACAGAGGCCCCGAGCGUUAAUCGGAAUUACUGGGCUUAAAGGGUGCGUAGGCGGAUCUGUAAGUGUCGUGUGAAAGCCCACUGCUCAACAGUGGAACAGCACGGCAAACUGCAGACCUUGAGGAAUCUAGAGGCCGGUAGAACGAUUGGUGGAGCGGUGGAAUGCGUAGAGAUCAAUCGGAAUGCCAAAGGUGAAGACAGCCGGCUGGGGAUUUCCUGACGCUGAGGCACGAAAGCGUGGGGAGCAAACAGGAUUAGAUACCCUGGUAGUCCACGCCCUAAACGAUGUGUGCUGGAUUACGGCGGCUCUGACGCCGUCGGGAUCGCAGAGAAAUUGUUAAGCACACCGCCUGGGGAGUACGGUCGCAAGGCUAAAACUCAAAGAAAUUGACGGGGGCUCACACAAGCGGUGGAGCAUGUGGCUCAAUUCGAAGCAACGCGCAGAACCUUACCUGGGUUUGACAUGGUCGGAUUAGUCGGUGGAAACAUCGAUGAGGCCCGCAAGGGUACAACGAUCACAGGUGCUGCAUGGCUGUCGUCAGCUCGUGCUGUGAAGCGUCGGGUUAAGUCCCUUAACGAGCGCAACCCUUGUCGCUAGUUACUAACGAGUCAAGUCGAGGACUCUAGCGAGACUGCCGGUGUCAAACCGGAGGAAGGCGGGGAUGACGUCAAGUCCUCAUGGCCCUUACACCCAGGGUUGCACACGUGCUACAAUGGUGCAUACAAAGCGACGCGAGGCCGCGAGGCGGAGCAAAUCGCAAAAAAUGCACCCCAGUUCGGAUUGCAGGCUGCAACCCGCCUGCAUGAAGCCGGAAUCGCUAGUAAUCGCGGAUCAGCUACGCCGCGGUGAAUGUGUUCCUGAGCCUUGUACACACCGCCCGUCAACUCAUGGAAGCCGGUAGUGCCCGAAGCUGCUGAAUCUCAUCAGCAACCACGGCAAGAUCGGUGACUGGGAGUAAGUCGUAACAAGGUAGCCGUAGGAGAACCUGCGGCUGGAUCACCUCCUUUCUAAGG
Molecule: ribosomal RNA, 1490 nt
Filed under: Phycisphaerales bacterium
Lineage: Bacteria; Pseudomonadati; Planctomycetota; Phycisphaerae; Phycisphaerales
Description: bacterial SSU rRNA
Rfam family: Bacterial small subunit ribosomal RNA
Source: RNAcentral